CGCGUAGGCGGAUAUCUAAGUCGGGGGUGAAAGCCCGGGGCUCAACCUCGGAAUUGCCUUCGAUACUGGAUAUCUUGAGUACGGGAGAGGUGAGUGGAACUCCGAGUGUAGAGGUGAAAUUCGUAGAUAUUCGGAAGAACACCAGUGGCGAAGGCGACUCACUGGCCCGUUACUGACGCUGAGGCGCGAAAGCGUGGGGAGCAAACA
RNAcentral lists this ribosomal RNA (207 nucleotides) under uncultured bacterium. RNAcentral describes it as "partial 16S ribosomal RNA". It matches the Rfam family "Bacterial small subunit ribosomal RNA", at positions 568 to 774 of the family's 1533-position model. The record is from RNAcentral.